UGCCUGACGGCAAUAGCACGAUAGAACCACCUGUUCCCAUGCCGAACACAGAAGUGAAAUGUCGUAGCGCCGAUGGUAGUGUGGCAGAUGCCAUGCGAGAGUAGGACACAGUCAGGCA
This 118-nucleotide ribosomal RNA is filed under the name Aeromonas diversa. The record is from RNAcentral. Lineage: Bacteria; Pseudomonadati; Pseudomonadota; Gammaproteobacteria; Aeromonadales; Aeromonadaceae.